GAACUAGCGGAGGGAUCAUUACCGAGUUUACAACUCCCAAACCCAAUGUGAACGUUACCAAACUGUUGCCUCGGCGGGAUCUCUGCCCCGGGUGCGUCGCAGCCCCGGACCAAGGCGCCCGCCGGAGGACCAACCAAAACUCUUUUUGUAUACCCCCUCGCGGGUUUUUUAUAAUCUGAGCCUUCUCGGCGCCUCUCGUAGGCGUUUCGAAAAUGAAUCAAAACUUUCAACAACGGAUCUCUUGGUUCUGGCAUCGAUGAAGAACGCAGCGAAAUGCGAUAAGUAAUGUGAAUUGCAGAAUUCAGUGAAUCAUCGAAUCUUUGAACGCACAUUGCGCCCGCCAGUAUUCUGGCGGGCAUGCCUGUCCGAGCGUCAUUUCAACCCUCGAACCCCUCCGGGGGGUCGGCGUUGGGGAUCGGCCCUCCCUUAGCGGGUGGCCGUCUCCGAAAUACAGUGGCGGUCUCGCCGCAGCCUCUCCUGCGCAGUAGUUUGCACACUCGCAUCGGGAGCGCGGCGCGUCCACAGCCGUUAAACACCCAACUUCUGAAAUGUUGACCUCGGAUCAGGUAGA
This 571-nucleotide ribosomal RNA is filed under the name Trichoderma endophyticum. RNAcentral describes it as "eukaryotic LSU rRNA". The stretch from base 222 to 375 matches the Rfam family "5.8S ribosomal RNA". The record is from RNAcentral. Lineage: Eukaryota; Fungi; Ascomycota; Sordariomycetes; Hypocreales; Hypocreaceae.